Molecule: ribosomal RNA, 301 nt
Filed under: uncultured bacterium
Lineage: Bacteria
Description: partial 16S ribosomal RNA
Rfam family: Bacterial small subunit ribosomal RNA
Source: RNAcentral
CAGCAGCCGCGGGAAUACGUAGGGUGCGAGCGUUAAUCGGAAUUACUGGGCGUAAAGCGUGCGCAGGCGGUUGUGUAAGACAGGUGUGAAAUCCCCGGGCUUAACCUGGGAACUGCGCUUGUGACUGCACAGCUAGAGUAUGGCAGAGGGGGGUGGAAUUCCACGUGUAGCGGUGAAAUGCGUAGAGAUGUGGAGGAACACCGACGGCGAAGGCAGCCCCCUGGGCCAAUACUGACGCUCAUGCACGAAAGCGUGGGGAGCAAACAGGAUUAGAUACCCCAGUAGUCCCUGUCUCUUAUAC